This 253-nucleotide ribosomal RNA is filed under the name uncultured bacterium. Its description in RNAcentral is "partial 16S ribosomal RNA". It matches the Rfam family "Bacterial small subunit ribosomal RNA", at positions 524 to 776 of the family's 1533-position model. The record is from RNAcentral.
UACGAAGGGGGCUAGCGUUGUUCGGAAUUACUGGGCGUAAAGCGCACGUAGGCGGAUCGAUUAGUCAGGGGUGAAAGCCCAGAGCUCAACUCUGGAACUGCCUUUGAUACUGUCGAUCUGGAGCAGAGUAGAGGUGAGUGGAAUUCCGAGUGUAGAGGUGAAAUUCGUAGAUAUUGGGAAGAACACCGGUGGCGAAGGCGGCUCACUGGCUCGUUUCUGACGCUGAGGCGCGAAAGCGUGGGGAGCAAACAGG